AGGACGAACGCUGGCGGCGUGCUUAACACAUGCAAGUCGAGCGGAAAGGCCCUUCGGGGUACUCGAGCGGCGAACGGGUGAGUAACACGUGAGUAACCUGCCCUAGACUUUGGGAUAACCCUCGGAAACGGGGGCUAAUACCGGAUACUCCUUGGUCACCGCAUGGUGGUCUCGGGAAAGUUUUUCGGUCUGGGAUGGACUCGCGGCCUAUCAGCUUGUUGGUGGGUAAUGGCCUACCAAGGCGAGGACGGGUAGCC
RNAcentral lists this ribosomal RNA (257 nucleotides) under uncultured soil bacterium. Its description in RNAcentral is "partial 16S ribosomal RNA". It matches the Rfam family "Bacterial small subunit ribosomal RNA", at positions 26 to 288 of the family's 1533-position model. The record is from RNAcentral.